AAACUACAAAGGGCAGCUGGGGAGAGAGACUGCUGGGUGGGAGAACUCAGGUACACGGAGAUGGGGUCCCAAGCUCAGUUGCUCUGGCUCCUGCUACUCUGGCUCCCAGAUGCCAGUGGACAACAGAUUGUGGUGACCCAAUCUCCAGAUGUCCUGUCUGCAUCUCUAGGAGACACAGUUUCUAUCAACUGCAAGACAAGUCGAAGUGUCAGUAGCUAUUUACACUGGUACCAACAGAAGCCAGGACAGGCUCCAAAGCUCAUCAUUAAAUCCAUUUCCACCCUCCUGCCUGGGGUCCCUGCCCGGUUCAGUGGCAGUGGCUCCAACACAGAUUUCUCCCUCAAAAUCAGCGGUGUGGAGACUGAGGAUGCUGCAGUCUAUUACUGCCAGCAGAGCUAUAGCUUGUACCCACAGUGUUCUAGCCUCAAACAUAACCCCCCCCACUCCUAAAUCAGAUGCAAUGUU
Molecule: non-coding RNA, 465 nt
Organism: Sarcophilus harrisii (Tasmanian devil)
Lineage: Eukaryota; Metazoa; Chordata; Mammalia; Dasyuromorphia; Dasyuridae
Source: the annotation of a RefSeq genome assembly